UGGAGGUCCUCUGGGCUGCGAGGACUCGUCGGUGUGGAAGCUGGUCGGAGCAACGAGCUGGGGGAUCGGCUGCGCUUUGAAAAACAAACCGGGCGUUUACGCUCGCGUCACGGCGGCGCUCAGCUGGAUCCGCCAACAGAUGGAGAGAGAAGAGCGCCUCCGAUCACGAGCAGCGACAACCGGACCAAGCAGUAAACCCACAUGUCUGCGGCUUUUCGAUUCCACGUCAACGUGACGGAGCAGAGAAAAGAGUCGGUGCACAGCGGAGAGAGAGUUAGGCAUCGUUUAUUCCAAAAUAGAAAGCUCUAAGGCAAAACAGACGAGAGAAAAGUGAAGAACGCUUCAUAAAAA
Larimichthys crocea (large yellow croaker) is the source of this 351-nucleotide long non-coding RNA. RefSeq lists it as uncharacterized. The transcript has 2 exons. Lineage: Eukaryota; Metazoa; Chordata; Actinopteri; Sciaenidae. The record is from RefSeq and is a predicted model, not a curated record.